RNAcentral lists this long non-coding RNA (410 nucleotides) under Manihot esculenta (cassava). RNAcentral's name for it is "long non-coding RNA (MESC_LNC000502)". Lineage: Eukaryota; Viridiplantae; Streptophyta; Magnoliopsida; Malpighiales; Euphorbiaceae. The record is from RNAcentral.
AGGAUGAUCCUGUAUCGCGUAAGGUUGCCAUCAACUGUAGCAUCACAUCUAAGCUGAAGCUAUGAGCCGGAAGAUCCUUGAAUCUGAGGGGAUGAAAUCCAGGCACAAUGUUCAAUAGUGAUGAAUCUGGUAGAGAUCAUAAAUGGUGUAAGUUGUCUGCAAGAUUGCUCACUUGUUGCAUAUAACAUGAAUUUUAAAAAUGAAAUUUCACUUUGUUGUUUCAUUAACAACUCACACUUAAUUACAUUUAUACCUUGCACAGGAAGAUAGCCUUCGUUUCGGAGACCAGGGAAAGCAUAGUAUGCAAGUAGAUUAGCUGCACAGCUAGUGCGCAAGACGAUGCCUGGAAGCUUCAGAGAUUGAGUUAUUUCUGCAACACAAUACAUUAAUCCGUCAUAGAUAAUGCAUGG